UACGUAGGGUGCGAGCGUUGUCCGGAAUUAUUGGGCGUAAAGAGCUCGUAGGCGGUCUGUCGCGUCGAUCGUGAAAACUUGGGGCUUAACCCUGAGCUUGCGGUCGAUACGGGCAUGACUGGAGUUCGGCAGGGGAGACUGGAAUUCCUGGUGUAGCGGUGAAAUGCGCAGAUAUCAGGAGGAACACCGGUGGCGAAGGCGGGUCUCUGGGCCGACACUGACGCUGAGGAGCGAAAGCGUGGGGAGCGAACAGG
This 254-nucleotide ribosomal RNA is filed under the name uncultured bacterium. RNAcentral's name for it is "partial 16S ribosomal RNA". It matches the Rfam family "Bacterial small subunit ribosomal RNA", at positions 524 to 776 of the family's 1533-position model. The record is from RNAcentral.